AUGAGCCGCCGCCGUUGCUCGCCAGCGACGGCACCCCCGCUGGAAGACGAGGACCUUCUCCAGGAGAUCCUCCUGCGCCUUCCUCCUCAGCCAUCCUCCCUCCCUCGCGCGUCCACCGUAUGCAAGCGCUGGCUCAACAUUCUCUCUGACCCCCAAUUCGUCCAACGCUUCCGCAAACACCAUGGGAAACCCCCACUCAUCGGCUUCUUCAGCCAAAGAUAUGGCGUAUUCUGUGACUUCAAACCCGUCCUGGAACUGCCUGACCGCAUACAUGCCCAUCGUUUCUCCAUGCCCAAGAGCCGCAGCUCAAUGGAGCAGUGGCGCUUCAUGGGCUGCCGCAACGGGCUCACUGCCUUGAUCAAUGAGUGUCGGCGCGAGGCCGUCGUGUGGGAUCCUCUCACCGGCCGGCAACAUCACAUGCCUUUUCAACCGGGACUCCAAAAUGCCCUAACAGGUAGCUUCUGUGUAUGGCAUGCCUCGGUGCUGUGCGCUGAUGCCGAACAUGGGCACGGGCAUGGCGAUUGCAUCUUGGGCCCGUUUAAAUUGGUCUUGAUCUGCAACGGAUACAAGCAGACAUUUGGUUCUAUCUAUGACUCGUCGUCUGGUUCUUGGGGAAAUAUUUUCUCACGGCGAGCAAAUGAAAUUUAUGCCAGAAGGGGCAACAUCCUUGUUGGAAAUGUGCUUUGUUGGUUGAUUUGUGGAGGUGAUGUCCUUGUGUUUGACAUCAAAACGCAGAGUCUUGGUGUGAUCGAGAAGCCAGCAGACAACCAUGUUACCAUUGACUUGUUUUUUCAGCUCUUGCGCAUGGAGAAAGGUGGACUAGGCCUUGCUGUUUUGUCUGAACAGAUCAUCCAAUUAUGGGAGAGGAAACCUAACUGUGACGGUGUUGUCGGAUGGGUGUUGCUGCAGAAAGCCAUUCCUUUGAAGGGGUUGCUUCCAAGCAGAAAGCCUUUGGUACUUAUCGUGGGGUAUGAUGAGGACACAAAUGCGACUGUUCUGUCUACGGGGAUUGGCAACUUCAUGCUCCAACUUGACUCAGUGCAGAUCAAACAUAUCAUUAAAAGAAAUAACAUGUGCAUCGACAUGUUUUAUCCCUACCAUAAUUUCUACACUGCAGGUAAUACCUCCCUAUCUACAUUGCACAACCAAAAUAGUCCAUUAUUUUGUUUUGCUGGGAUUCAAUACUGUUAA
This 1191-nucleotide ribosomal RNA is filed under the name Triticum aestivum (bread wheat). RNAcentral describes it as "partial small subunit ribosomal RNA". The record is from RNAcentral. Lineage: Eukaryota; Viridiplantae; Streptophyta; Magnoliopsida; Poales; Poaceae.